Molecule: non-coding RNA, 99 nt
Organism: Acanthosepion pharaonis
Lineage: Eukaryota; Metazoa; Mollusca; Cephalopoda; Sepiida; Sepiidae
Source: the annotation of a GenBank genome assembly
GUUGAAACACCAGUUCUCGUAUGAUCACUGAAGUUAAGGAACAUCUAGCCUGUUCAGUACUUAGAUGGGUGACCACUUAGGAAUACCAAGGGCUGCAAG